UACAGAGGUCCCCAACCGUUGUUCGGAUUCAUUGGGCGUAAAGGGUGCGUAGGCGGUCGCGCAAGUCGGAUGUGAAAUCUUAGGGCUCAACCCUGAAACUGCAUUCGAUACUGCGUGGCUAGAGUACUGGAGAGGAGACUGGAAUUUACGGUGUAGCAGUGAAAUGCGUAGAUAUCGUAAGGAAGACCAGUGGCGAAGGCGAGUCUCUGGACAGUUACUGACGCUGAGGCACGAAGGCCAGGGGAGCAAACGGGAUUAGAAACCCCGU
Molecule: ribosomal RNA, 268 nt
Filed under: uncultured bacterium
Lineage: Bacteria
Description: partial 16S ribosomal RNA
Rfam family: Bacterial small subunit ribosomal RNA
Source: RNAcentral